RNAcentral lists this ribosomal RNA (253 nucleotides) under uncultured bacterium. RNAcentral describes it as "partial 16S ribosomal RNA". It matches the Rfam family "Bacterial small subunit ribosomal RNA", at positions 524 to 776 of the family's 1533-position model. The record is from RNAcentral.
UACGAAGGGUGCAAACGUUGCUCGGAAUUAUUGGGCGUAAAGCGCACGUAGGCGGCUUGGCAAGUCGGAUGUGAAAUCCCUCGGCUCAACCAAGGAAGUGCAUCCGAAACUGCCGAGCUUGAGUACUUAAGAGGAUCGCGGAAUUCCCGGUGUAGAGGUGAAAUUCGUAGAUAUCGGGAGGAAUACCAGUGGCGAAGGCGGCGACCUGGGCCAAUACUGACGCUGAGGUGCGAAAGCGUGGGGAGCAAACAGG